Molecule: ribosomal RNA, 497 nt
Filed under: uncultured bacterium
Lineage: Bacteria
Description: partial 16S ribosomal RNA
Rfam family: Bacterial small subunit ribosomal RNA
Source: RNAcentral
GAUGAACGCUGGCGGCGUGCCUAAUACAUGCAAGUCGAGCGAACGGACGAGAAGCUUGCUUCUCUGAUGUUAGCGGCGGACGGGUGAGUAACACGUGGAUAACCUACCUAUAAGACUGGGAUAACUUCGGGAAACCGGAGCUAAUACCGGAUAAUAUUUUGAACCGCAUGGUUCAAAAGUGAAAGACGGUCUUGCUGUCACUUAUAGAUGGAUCCGCGCUGCAUUAGCUAGUUGGUAAGGUAACGGCUUACCAAGGCAACGAUGCAUAGCCGACCUGAGAGGGUGAGCGGCCACACUGGAACUGAGACACGGUCCGGACUCCGACGGGAGGCAGCAGUAGGGAAUCUUCCGCAAUGGGCGAAAGCCUGACGGAGCAACGCCGCGUGAGUGAUGAAGGUCUUCGGAUCGUAAAACUCUGUUAUUAGGGAAGAACAUAUGUGUAAGUAACUGUGCACAGCUUGACGGUACCUAAUCAGAAAGCCACGGCUAACUACGUG